UGUGCUGGGGGAACUUGGUGGCCAAGAUGAGUACUCUCUGGUUGAUGCCCUAAAAGGGGGAAAAGUUCAUAAGCCUGUUGUUGCUUGGGUUAGUGGAACCUGUGCUCGGCUCUUCAAGUCAGAAGUGCAGUUUGGUCAUGCUGGCGCUAAGAGUGGCGGUGAAUUGGAAUCUGCACAAGCUAAGAAUCAAGCUCUACUGGAGGCUGGAGCAGUUGUCCCCACUUCAUUUGAAGCAUUGGAGGGUGCAAUUAAAGAGACUUUUGAGAAAUUGGUCGAGGAAGGCAAAAUAUCCCCAAUAAAGGAAGUUCAACCUCCACAGAUUCCUGAGGACCUUAGCACUGCGAUUAGUAGCGGAAAGGUCCGGGCACCAACACAUAUUAUCUCGACUAUAUCUGACGACAGAGGGGAUGAACCAUGUUAUGCCGGUGUCCCGAUGUCUACCAUUGUCGAAAAAGGUUAUGGAGUAGGCGAUGUUAUCUCUCUUUUAUGGUUCAAGCGUAGCCUUCCUCGUUAUUGUACACAAUUCAUUGAGAUUUGCGUCAUGCUGUGUGCCGAUCAUGGUCCUUGUGUCUCCGGUGCUCAUAACACUAUAGUUACAGCG
Molecule: unclassified non-coding RNA, 601 nt
Filed under: Hevea brasiliensis (rubber tree)
Lineage: Eukaryota; Viridiplantae; Streptophyta; Magnoliopsida; Malpighiales; Euphorbiaceae
Source: RNAcentral